CUAGAACGAACGCUGGCGGCAGGCCUAACACAUGCAAGUCGAGCGCGCCCUUCGGGGUGAGCGGCGGACGGGUUAGUAACGCGUGGGAACGUACCCUUUGGUAGGGAAUAGCCACUGGAAACGGUGAGUAAUACCCUAUGAGCCCUUCGGGGGAAAGAUUUAUCGCCAAAGGAUCGGCCCGCGUUAGAUUAGGUAGUUGGUGGGGUAAUGGCCUACCAAGCCUACGAUCUAUAGCUGGUUUUAGAGGAUGAUCAGCAACACUGGGACUGAGACACGGCCCAGACUCCUACGGGAGGCAGCAGUGGGGAAUCUUGGACAAUGGGGGCAACCCUGAAUCCAGCCAUGCCGCGUGAGUGAAGAAGGCCUUAGGGUCGUAAAGCUCUUUCGCCUGUGAAGAUAAUGACGGUAGCAGGUAAAGAAACCCCGGCUAACUCCGUGCCAGCCGCAGC
RNAcentral lists this ribosomal RNA (449 nucleotides) under uncultured bacterium. RNAcentral's name for it is "bacterial SSU rRNA". It matches the Rfam family "Bacterial small subunit ribosomal RNA", at positions 26 to 518 of the family's 1533-position model. The record is from RNAcentral.